This 253-nucleotide ribosomal RNA is filed under the name uncultured bacterium. Its description in RNAcentral is "partial 16S ribosomal RNA". It matches the Rfam family "Bacterial small subunit ribosomal RNA", at positions 524 to 776 of the family's 1533-position model. The record is from RNAcentral.
UACAGAGGGUGCAAGCGUUAAUCGGAUUUAUUGGGCGUAAAGGGGGCGCAGGCGGAAAGAUAAGUCAGAUGUGAAAGCCCAGGGCUCAACCUUGGAACAGCAUUUGAAACUAUCUUUCUUGAGGGUAGGCGGAGAAAACGGAAUUCCACAAGUAGCGGUGAAAUGCGUAGAUAUGUGGAAGAACACCCGUGGCGAAAGCGGUUUUCUAGCUUAUUCCUGACGCUGAGGCCCGAAAGCUAGGGGAGCAAACAGG